This is a non-coding RNA of Cicer arietinum (chickpea), 1003 nucleotides long. NCBI's taxonomy places the organism in Eukaryota, Viridiplantae, Streptophyta, Magnoliopsida, Fabales, Fabaceae. The record is from RefSeq and is a predicted model, not a curated record.
AAUAUUUUUAUUAUUUUUAUUAUAGAAACGAGCUUUAACACCACUGUAAUAUCUCAAUUUUGUCCACAAUUCAAAUAAAAAGUAUAUUUAUCUAAAAAUAUUGUAAAAAAUUAAAAAUACAUCAAAAUAAAACAAAUAAAAAAGGAAGUCCCAUCUGUCGAUGCUUUGUUGCGCGUGUUGAAGUGUGCCGUGUGCAGAACCAUGUUUCCUGCUUCCUCACAUGCUUUCCCUGCACUCUAUCUUUCUCUGCACUCUAUCUAUCGGUUCAUUUUAUUUUAAUUUUAUUAUUUUUCAAUCUAAUAAUGGUAUUAAUUUUAUCAUUUUGAAUACUCAAUCAAAAAAGACUAGCCCCAAACCAGGGUAAAAUCCAAAACUUAAUUUAUACUAUGAACGCAACCCUUCCCCUUAGUUGUAUCGGUUUGCUCGCUGGAUAUAGUUGCCAAAGCAGCAGAAAAUCUAAAAAUUAAUUUAUACAAUAAACACACCCUUCUUCGUUUUAUCCUAUAUAUUGGAAGAAAAAAUCAAAACAGGGGAGAAAAGAAAAACAAUCACAAGAUAUAAAUUGGGAGAGUUUCAUUUCUUUGCUUUCGAUUUCUAAAAAAAACAAUAGAAAGAGAUAGUGUUACCGCAAAGAAGAAAGGAAGAUCUACCAUCAGUUUGCUUCCUAUCAACCCUAGCCUUGAAGCCAGUUCUAACAACGAAAAUGGUAAAAGGAAAAGAAGGGAUUCCUCUAUCACCAUAUUUAGGAAUAAUUGAGGUUUUUAGGUUUCUCAAUGAAUUACCAAGAUCGAAGGAGUUGAAUCAACAAAAGGUGAAUAUUAAAGGUUGAAGGCUUCACAUAGGUUGAAUUUGCAAUUGUAUCACUUAGAAUUCAUAGUGAUUCUUGGAAGAGGGUUUCAAAAAUGGAAAAACUCUUAGAUUCACAAAGAGCGAAUAUAUUGUAGCAAAUGUGUUUGUUCAUUUGUUUGAAAGGAGUUUAUUGUAGUAAACAUAACAAUUCAUA